Molecule: long non-coding RNA, 10596 nt
Filed under: Gossypium barbadense (sea-island cotton)
Lineage: Eukaryota; Viridiplantae; Streptophyta; Magnoliopsida; Malvales; Malvaceae
Description: long non-coding RNA (GBAR_LNC013906)
Source: RNAcentral
CCUACAUCUAAACUGAAAUCACAGCGCCUCAUGCAUCUAUAUGCAACAUCCCACGAAUAUAGUCUUUGGAAACAAGCACUGCAACUCGUUCCCUCGCUGUUGUGGACAAAAAAGAGUGAAUGCUCAUGACUUGGGUGCUUCAAGGUGUCCGACAAUAACAUACAUUGAAUGUCAAUUUCGAAGCUGAAAUCUCCUUCGUAGCAUCUGUAGCUAAAUCCUUGAUACAGACGACGGCAAGCACAGCACAAUGAAUAACCAUACUCAUCGUGUGAGUUUGAGAGAGUAAGCAAAUGCUUGUGAAAUGGGUGUGGCAUUUCUUCAGGCAAUUCAGCGCAAUCUUUGUGGAGAAAGAACUUGCAUUGCUCACAACUAUAAAAAGGAGUUGAUAUAGGUCUCGUGCACCCAUCGCACUAACUAUCAUCAUCUUUGGUCUUCCUACUAAAAGUGAGUCUUAAAUUAUGAUCAUGAUAGGAAUGCUUGAUCUCACUUGCUACCAUUAGCUCUCCAAUACGAAUUUGUUCAACAACAUCAGUAAUCAAAUUCCAAGGUUCAUCCACCACUUCCUCAGACCUCUUAUCAUAGCCUUCCGGCAUAAUUGUUCCAUCCCAAAUUACUUUAUCAGUUGCACAAAGUACAUGAGCAAUAUAACGGCAACGAGAAGCAGGACAACGGUAAUGGCCAUAGUGUUGAAAUUGGCCAACUAUUCUGCUGUUACAGUGCAUGCAGCUUGAUGACAUGCUGCAGCAUGUAUACUUGCUGUAACAGCAAGGUUUUCUUUUUAGUUUCUUUGUUGAUUAAACUACUUGGAAAUGAACAAGCUGAUGACAGCUUGAUAUGUUUAGGUGUUGAAUGACUAGUUUAGGUGGUUUGUUUGUGUACAAGCAAUGUUUUUAAAGUUACUAGGCUACUUAGUGGUAGUAGGUAGUAAUAACUGAUGUAGUUGGCUAUAAAUGUAUUGUUUUUCUUAUUGAAAAAUUAAGCAUAUCAGUUGUGAAACUUAGAUUGCUUCCUUGUUGCACGUUUGUGAGCAAGUAAAUUGUUUUUGUUUCUUCCUCAUUUGUUCUCUGUUUUGUUCUUUUUCUAAGAGCUGCUGCCAUUGUUCUUUCUUUUUCUUUUUUUCUGCCUGUUAACCGAGGGCUUAUGCUCUUGAUGCUUUGUGUUUCUGCUUGCUGUUUGAAGAGCUUAUGCUCUUAGUGUUUCAUUGUUUGGUUGUUGCUGCCAAAUGUUCCAACAAAUGGUAUCAGAGCCUAAGUCUUAAGGGGCCAUUGAUUUUGCUUCCGUUGCUUGUUAAAAAGAAAGAAGCUGUCAAAACACAAGCAAGUCAUUAAGGACUACUUGUAGAGAAGACAGCAUUGGCUCAAACUUAUGAGACCCCCAAACAAGCUUGAAUAAGCUGGAGGAGGAGUUUCAGUUUCAAGGAAAGGUGUGAGCUUUCCAAAUGUGCAAGCUUAGCAAGAUGUCAAAGCUGCAAGGUUAGCAAAGUGCGAGCCUGUUGAAGACACCUGUUGAAGACAAUAUGCAAAGAUAUGAGUCUGUCAAAGGUGUGAGCUCAGCAACAUGUGGAAGCUCAAUGCGUGUUGUAUAGUUGCAAGCCUGUUGAAGACAGUAAGCAAAGUGUGAGCCUGUCGAAUUGCAAGCAAAAAUGGCAGAAUGAAGGCAAGCAAACUAUACUCAAGAACUGUUUGUGCAAGAAGAAGCAAGAUUGUAGUGAACAAAGAAACAAGGUAAGAUGUGUAGUCAACCAAGGCUGUGAAGGAGGAGAAGACUCCAUUUGGUGAACAAAUCUUUGGCACAAAAAACUGGGAUAGUCAAGUGUGUAAGUUAGAUUUGUUUGUGAAUGAAGCCAAUGUUGAAAAUGAAUUGGUCAGCUUGAAACAAAACAUCUAAGGGCUGUCAAGUUCAAAAAACUUGAUGAAUGAUUGGUAUUUGCAGCAUGGAGUCCAAGGAGGAGUGUUGAAAUUGGCCAACCAUUCUGCUGUUACAGUGCAUGCAGCUUGAUGACAUGCUGCAACAUGUAUACUUGCUGUAACAGCAAGGUUUUCUUUUUAGUUUCUUUGUUGAUUAAACUACUUGGAAAUGAACAAGCUGAUGAUAGCUUGAUAUGUUUAGGUGUUGAAUGACUAGUUUAGAUGGUUUGUUUGUGUACAAGCAAUGUUUUUAAAGUUACUAGGCUACUUAGUGGUAGUAGGUAGUAAUAACUGAUGUAGUUGGCUAUAAAUGUAUUGUUUUUCUUAUUGAAAAAUUAAGCAUAUCAGUUGUGAAACUUAGAUUGCUUCCUUGCUGCACGUUUGUGAGCAAGUAAAUUAUUUUUGUUUCUUCCUCCUUUGUUCUCUGUUUUGUUCUUUUUUUAAGAGCUGCUGCCAUUGUUCUUUCUUUUUCUUUUUUCUGCCUGUUAACCGAGGGCUUAUGCUCUUGAUGCUUUGUGUUUCUGCUUGCUGUUUGAAGAGCUUAUGCUCUUAGUGUUUCAUUGUUUGGUUGUUGCUGCCAAAUGUUCCAACACAUAGCUUAUAUCAACUUCCUUGUAACAAAUUUUGCACAUCCAAUCCUCAACUUGAUUUUGUCAAAAAGAAUACGAAAGAGAAAUCGUGUGAUGAUGUCGUGUUAUCAUGAUGUGGCGUGGCAAUGAAAUGUAAUUCUUAUGGACAAAAAGUACACAGGUAUCACAGUGAUAAGGGGAGUGAUCUCCGUCAGUGCCACAAAAAUCACAAACAAACCACAUUUUUCUAGAUACAAGCAUCCACGGGUGUUCAUGACUUGCGACUGUGAUUGUUGGUGGUGAAAAAAGAAAAUCAUCAAGUGAAAGAUCAAAGUUGCAUAGAGAGCAGGAAUAAACAAACCCCUUCCAUUGGAUUCUGCACAAAGAGCAACUACAUUUCUGGGGAUGAGUAGGCGGUUGUGGCAAGAGAGUAAGAGGAUGCUUACGGUCACAGGGGUGAUUAAUCUCAAGGGGCAGUUCAGCACAUUCUUUAUGAAGGUUAAAGACUAUAGGAUACGUACAAUCUGAACAGUGGUAAAAUGGACCAGAUAUUGGUUUUUGACACCCGGGGCAAUCAGGCUCGACUUCCUUGUUAUAGUUUUGAAAGAAGUGUAAAGGAUGGGGGUGCAAAGAAUUAGGAAAGUUUGCAGCAAUGGAUGAUUGAAGCAAAGCACAAUUGAUGAGCAGAUCGAACUCAUAAUCAAAAUAAUUAUAAACAAAUCCCUCAAAAUUCUUACCACACAGAUCGCACCCGCUUAUGCUCGAAGAAUAAGGUGAUUUUGGCAGAAGAGUGAGAGGGUGUUUGGGGUGGAAGGGAUGCUGAAUCUUGGGGGCUAACUCUAACUCAGCACAUCCCUUGUGAAGAUAAAACUCACAUUGAUUGCAGCCAUAGCUCCAGCCCUCUACGGGUUUCUGACACCCAAGGCAAAGAGCUGCUUUGCUUGCAACACUGUGAGCUUGGAUGAAGACCAAAGGAUGGUGAUGGCUGAAAUGUUGAAUUUCCAUCUCUCUUUCUUUCCAACUCUCGGAUACUGUGAAAUUAUUUAGAAGAAGAAAAACAAAAAUGAAAUUGCUUCAUCAAAUUAUUCCAGGCCUCAUGGUUAGUAGAUUCUUUUCUUGGGUGUUGGUUUUGGUCUUCAUAAAGAAAGGAAUAUAUUGAUGCUUUGCCCAAUUUUCAAAAUUCUAAGCAUAGAUAUAGAUAUAAUUAAGCAAAUAAAGAAAGAAAGAGAAAGAAACAUCAGAAGAAAGUAUGAGGAAGAAGGAAGUAGGAGAGGACACUUUUCUUCGGGAAAUUUUGUUUCUUGCUCUCCACGUUUCAUUCCAAUGAUACCAGUCCUGAUGUUAACAAGUAUGCAUACAUUCAGGGAGCAAAACUAAGGGUGUGCAAUAGUCGGGUCAAACUGACUAAAGUAAUUCAACGGUUCGAUUUUAGUUUUGUCGAGUAUGUUGUAGGUCCGGUAAAUUUGUUUUCAUUUUGGAAAUCCAAAAUCAAAUUAAUCGACUCUCAAUUUCAAAUAGCAAAUUUUGUCAUAUCAACGAGUGAAAGAAAAAAUUAAUAUUAAAAUUAUAUUUACAAAAAAAAUUAUUUAGUAUUUUCUGCCAAUAUUAUUUAGUAAUUCAAUCAUAGGUAGAGCAGUAAAUUAUUCAUAAAAUAUUCCACACGAUUACAUAAAAUAUAAUAAGGUGGCACUUGGACUAUGAAACAUAUAGUGAGCUCUUUCAUCAUACAUAUAGAUCUCCAUUUCACCACAUAGACUCAUGGAGUCAAACAUGUCCCAAAAGUGAAGCAUUUAGUUAACACUCUCCUUAUUUCCCCUUGCAUGUCCCGUUAAAUGGAGCUUAGCGCUCAUUCCCUUAUCCCUCCAACAUGUCUCAAGGCCUCAAUGCCCAAACCACUAUACAUAUAAGUGAGUACUCAAAUGCUAUGGCAUGCCAACUAUAUCCAAUGGUUCCAAGAUCAUAAUGCCAAAAUACCUAAAAACAACACAUAUUACUUACUGAUUAUCUGUGCAUUAUCACUACAUAGUAACAUCUUUUGCAAAACACUAGCAUAGUCAUAUAACAUAUAUAUUACACAUUCAUUUCUGUAUAUAAUAGCACUUUACACAAUAAUCACCACACUCACUGAUCACAUUUCAUGCACAACACAUAUCCACAAGAUAAUUAUAGAUUCAAGAAAAUUUACACUCAAAACUUAGAGUAGGGGUUUAGGCUAUAUCUAAAUUCCAAAAUAACACAUGACUCGUGUUUACGAGUAGCAAUUCCAUACACUCACCACUUUAGGCCUUUUUCGGAAAAUUGAAAGCUCAACUAACACUUCCCUACCUCGUAGCAAGCUCUAACGAAUCUGAAGCUUUGCACACAUAAAUCAUACAAUAACCACAGUCAAAUAUCAACCAAGAAUCCACUCAAACCAACUAAAACACAAGCUUAAGCUAAGUUCUCAUGUAACUUAAACUAUUAACAUAAUAAACUUUAAAUUCUAGUAUCUCAGGUUAUACUCAAUAUUUUUGCCUAAAAUUAGUUCCAUUCAUUUAAUUAAUCAUAUAUGACUAAUUCGCAACCUUCAAACUAGACAAAUCUAUGCCUAAUUUACGCUCUGGAUGUUGAGCCGGAACUUUAAUUUCUACUAACCUACACAUGGAAACAACCGUACGCUGAGUAUAUCAUACUCAAUGGUAUUACUAUAAUUCAAAUUAUAAUAUAACAACCAAGUAAAUUAAAUCAUUUAACUUUAAAAAUUUACCAAACUAAUUCAUUUUUAACUUUCAUUUCUCAAUAUCUACAAUUCAAUUUGGGUUUCAUUAGUUGAUAUCUUAUACUAUCACAUUGAGCCAUUAUUUAUCUCAUGAACAUUUAGUUCAUGCUUUCUAUUCACAUUUUCAUAUUCAAUUCACAUUUUCAAAUUAUAUUCCACAAUCAUAUUUCUUUUCAAUGGCUCAACAGAUUCAUUUCGUUCUAUUUAACUUUUCAAUUAAUUACCCCUAUUAUCAGACUCGAACUUUGGCGGAUACACGAAUCCAACCAAACACACCAGAUUGGCACCUAGUGCCUCAUCGGAUAGUUCGAAGCAAAGUUGACACCCAGCGUCUCAUCGGCCUAGCUGAAGUAAAGUGAUACCCAGUAUCUCAUCGAAUCUAUCCGAAGUAAAAUUGUGACAACCAGUGUCUCAUCGACUCGAGGUCGAAGUAUCCCUGAACUCUUCCAAUCCUAUGGCAUGCCAACUAUAUCCGACUCAGCCCGACUAGUUAAUAGGGUUUCCAAUUCACAAUUCAAACUCACUUUCAUUUCAAAAUUUACUUUCAAUAUCAAAUUCACUUUUUCAUUCACUAAUAAAAAUCCAAUUCAAUACUAACACAUAUUUCUCAUUCAAUUCAAUUUUCUAAAUUCAAUUCAAUAAAAUUACUUACCUCAAUAUUUACUUACCAUAAAUUAAAUAAAUUUAAAAUUAAUAUUUAAUAAUGAAUAAUUUGAAUUAUAGUAAUACAAACUCAAAUUUCGCGAUUACUCCUCGAUAACUUUUUUCUUUCCUUUCGGUGCCGAUGUCUCGGGUUCUUUACUAGCUACGAAAAUUAAAAUAAUUUACAAUCAUUAAUAUAUCACUAAUUUACAUUAAAUACUAAAUUUCUAUUUAACUUUCACUUAAAUUCCAAUUUUAAUCCUAACUAAAUUCAUCUAUUUUGCCAUAACAAUUUAUAUCUUAUUCCCAUCCAAAUUCCAUAUAAACUUAAAUUUAACUAUCAAAAUUUCAUCAUAAUUUCGUAAUUUCGAAUUUCUUUCAAUUUAGUCCCUACAACACAAAACUUAUAGCCUAAUUUACAAUUUAAUCAUUUAAUCAAUUCUAAUCAAUAAUUCUAUUAAAUAAACUCCUAAUUCAAUCAUUUAUUCAACAUGAACCCUACUAAAAAAUCUACUAAUUUUUAAAUUUUCAACUUAUAUUCAAUAAUAUUCAACUCUAGGACUAAGAAAAGGGACUAAAUUGACUUACCAAAUUAAACCCUAAACUUUAAAAACCCUAAUUUCUCCUUCCUUUCUCUUUUUCUUUUUCAUUCUAUCCCUUUCUGUUUUCGUUUCUAUCUAUGUUUCUUUUUCAAUUUCUUUUGUUUGUUUUAUCUUUUAUUUUACUUUAGUAAUUAUAUUAUUAUAUUAACUUAAUAAUAAUUAUUAUUAUUUCUUACAUAUUAUGUAAAUAAAUAUGUAUUUUACAAUUGUAUGUAUAUGAUUUAUGUCGAAACCAUUUUUUUGAAAACAAAAAAUUUAGGUUAUCGACUUUGAAAACAAAAAUUGGAGUCGCCACCGAUCCGUGAUUUAGGUGUGACCGGCUCACCUUUAAAACAAUUUGGUCUACGAAAUUUGAGAAAACGGGUUCGGGAGUCAGUUACGCACGAGGAAGGAUUAGCACCCUCGUAACGCCCAAAAAUCGGUACCAAAUUGAUUAUUUAAUGUCUUAGUGUCGAAAAUUAAAAAGAUUUUGUUAAACUCAAAUGUUGAAAUCUGAAAAGGAUAAUCAAUUAUUCAAGUCAUGCGAAGAAAUUGAGACCCAAUACGUUAGGGUACAAUUUCUCAAAAUCCCCGAAUUUUGAAUAUCGCUUUUUAAUUAAAUUUUCAAAGAAAAUCUUCAUUUCGAGAAAGCAAUAUGUCAUGCCCAAUGCGUUAGGACAUAACAUAUUGAAUUCCCGAAAAUGAUUUUUGUUUAUACAUUUUAAAUAAUGAAUAUUCUCGGCUAUUUGAAAUUAACAAAGAAAAUCGGAACCCAAUACGUUAGGGCUCAAUUUUCCUCGAAAAUCCCUAACUUUGAAUAUCGUUUUUAUUUUGAAAACCUUUGAAUCAUAAAAAUAAUUUAAUGUUUUGACAAAAUCAAAAUGUAGUUAAAAAAUGUGUUAAAAAUGUCAAUGCAACAUGAAACGAAUAUUUUAAUUUAAAUUAUACAUGUAUAUGAUAUAUAUAUAUAUAUAUAUAUAAAUGGUAUAAAAGUAAAUUUUGCAAGUAUGUAUAUGACCAUGAAAUAAUAAAAAAUAAUAAUAAUAAUAAAUGCAUAAGUUUUAUAAAAUGUUAGUGCAUACAUAUAUAUGAAUACAAAAGUCAUGAAAAUAAAACAAUAAUAAAAUACAUAUCAAGUAUAUUCAUACAUUUACAAAAAAAAAUAAAAGUAAAAAUAUAAUAUAUUAGUAAAUUAUAAAAAAAAUGAAAAUAUAUACAUAAAAACAUGCAAAAAAAAAUAUUUAUAAUAAUUUGAAUAAUGUAUAAACAUGCACAUUAUGAAAGAAAUAUAUAUAUAGGAUUAUAAAAAUAUGAAAAAUGUAUAAAUAUUAUCAAAUAAUAAUGUAUGUACGUAUGUAUGUAAAAACUAAGAAAAUAAAAUAAUAAUAGAAUAUGUAUGUGUAUCAUUUAAAAAACAUUUAAAAUAUAUACAUAUAUAUUAUAAUAAAAACAAACAUAUGCGUAUAUAUGCAUAAAUAUAAUAAUAAUAAAAUAAAAAAAUGUAUAUAUAUUAAUAAAAAUAAAAUUAUAUAUAUAUAUAAAAUAAGAUACAUAUGCGCAUAAAUAUAUAUAAUAAUAAUAAAAAUAAUAAUAAGUAAUAUAAUAAUAAUAGUAAUAUAUAAUAUAAUAACAAAGAUAACAGCAACUUAAUAACAAUAAUAGUAUUAACAAACUAAUAUUUAAUCUAAUUUGUAAAAGCAAAUACAAUGGACUAAAUUAGAAUCAAAACAAAAUUAACAACACCAAAUCAAAUUAAAAUAGAGGAUGAAUUUGCAAAAUGCCGGCAACAUGAAGGGUCAAAAGGGAAAUUAAUCCCUCUUCUCCCAAAGUGCUGUGCAGCACUGGAUUAAAAUCAAACAAAUUUAAUGUUUUAGGGAAAAAUUUGAAAAUAGCAAAAACAGUGGUUUUGAAAUAAUGAAAACAUGAGAGGAUUAAAAGCAUAAAUAACCCAUAAGUGCUUAAAACCCAUUUCAAUCUCAAAUUUAAAGCUAUUCUGCAGCAGCUUCAAAAAUUGUUUCAUCUUCUUCCCAACUCCUCACGCCAAAACCCCCUCCCUUUUAACUUUGAUUUGGACAAAUGAAGCAAACGAUACCGAUGGCGCGCCUCUGCUGGUAAGAAUCUCCUCCCUUUCUUUUACUUUUCGUUUUCUUUCUCAAAAAAACGAAGUAAAAUACAAAAGAAAAAGAUGAGACAAAAAAAAAAAGAAACAGUAAAAAGAACUUGGAAAGAACAAAUCACCUUCAAAAAUUUGUUUUUUUUCUGAUUCUUUUCUUUCGUAUUUCAGUAUUUUUCAAUAUAUGUCUGUGUAACCCUUUUACAGAUUUGAUUUGGCUUUAUAUAGCCGAAACAACGGAGAAAGAAACUAUCGAAAAAAAACUCUCCCCCCCUUUGUCGUCCUCUCUGCCAUUAUUUUUAUUCGUGGUUCAUGGCUUGUUGCCGGUGUGGGCGUUGGAGAACGUGGGCAGUUGCUAUGCGAUCAUGCGUGAAGACGGUUGCUGCAACGUGGGGGCGAGGGUGAUGCCGAUCUGCUGCUUAUUGCCAAAUGUUUCUGCUGUUCAUUUUUUUUAUUUUAGGCUAGUGGGUCAGGUAUUUGGGUUAAUGACUUGGGCUUGUAAUGGGUUUGGGCUUUAGGCUUAGUUGGGCCCAAGUCAAAAAUUGGGUAUUACAAUUUAUUACACUUGUACUUUACUAUCGCCAUACAUUUGUCAACUUAUUAAUUUGUUCAUUGAUCUAAUAAUAUAAUAUCAAUUAAAUAAUAACGACAAUAAUAAUAAUUGUUAUAAUAAUAAAUAUCUAUUUAAUAACAAAUAUAAAUAUUACAAAUGUACACAUAUAUAUUUUACAUUUGUAUUUUAUCAUCACCAUCCACUUGUCAUAAUUUCAAUUUAUUUAUCAUAUAAAAAUCUUUUACUAAUUGAUAAUAAAUAAUAAAAUAUCUUUUUACUAAUUAUAUAUAUAAUACAAAUGUUCUCAUUUAAAUUAAUACACUUGUAUUUUAUUUUUACCUUACACUUGUCUUUUCUUAAUUUUUUUCAUAAUAUAAUAAUAUAAUCAAUUUAAUUUAUAAUAUAAUAACAAUAAUAACAAUAAUCAUAUAUUUUAUAAUUAAACAAUCAUAAAAAUCUUUUUGCCGCCUCAUUCAAUAGAAUAGGCUUAAUUGCCUAUUUAGUCCUCCUUAUAUUCUUUUAAUCAAUAAUUAGACUUUCACACCUUAUUCAAUUCAGUCCUUUUUCUUAAUAUCUAUUAACUAAGCUAAAUUUACCCAAUUUGAACCUAAUUAAACACUCAAUUAGACUCAUGAGUACUCCUAAUAAUUAUUUACGAAUUCGAUUUACAAAGCCGGAGGCCCUAUAACUCACUUUUCCCGUACCUGUGAAUUUUGGGUCAUUAGAGCAGAUUACAACAACUAAGGCCAUCACCCAUUUUUACCAAAUCUGCUACACCCUUCCACACAAACAACACAUCUCUCAUAUUGUGCCUUCUCUGUUUCUUAAACUUGAGUGGAAUAUCAUUCAAAUGCUUCUAAGGCGUCUCCAAAGGCAAUUCAAGUGGACAGUAAAAUUGCAUUCAGAUUCUUUACAUUCUAGGGCUUGCCCAUUGCAAACCUCACCACAUCCCUUACAUGGAGGGCAAUUCCAGAUGUUUUUCACAACAGUGAAUGGAUGUUUAUGCCUAUAUACUUUCAAUUUGUUCCCAAGCUUCAUAUAUGAGAGAUCUCCGAUAGCACAAUUGAGAUGAAGAGAGUUAUCACAAUCAGCACAAUAGUAAAACCAACGAUUUGGCUCUCUUUCUUUCUCGCAGAGAUCGCAGUAAAGUUGAGAAGGCUCGGAAUCAUUAGAAUAAGUCAAAGUAAGAGGAUGCCUGUCAUACUUGUACCAAGCAGUGAGUGGUAGUGUUGCACAACCUACAUCUAAACUGAAAUCACAGCGCCUCAGGCAUCUAUAUGCAACAUCCCACGAGUAUAGUCCUUUGAAACAAGCACUGCAACUCGUUCCCUCGUUGUGGACAAGAAAGAGUGAAUGCUCAUGACUUGGGUGCUUCAAGGUGUCCGACAAUAACAUACAUUGAAUGUCAAUUUGGAAGCUGCAAUCUCCUUCGUAGCAUCUGUAGCUAAAUCCUUGAUACAGACGACGGUAAGC